GGCGAGCAAUUGACCGCUGCGUGAAUAACGUAGAGGAAAGUCCGUGCUUGCACAGGCUGCGAUGCCUGUAGUGUUUCUGUAGGUUAAAUAGAUUCAACCUAGCAUCCUUAACUUGAUGACGGCCACUAAUCACCUAAGUUCGCAAGAAUAUGGUGAAGCGUGCUAAAGUGCCACAGUGACGAAUUAGUGAGAAAUCACUAAGUGAAACGCGGUAAACCCCAGAAGCAAGAAACCUAAAUUUCGGUAAGGGAACGGGUAAUUAAUAAACGAAUUAAUUACUUGAUCAAUAAGCAAUUAUUGGUAGACAAAUGGUCAAUAUCAAUUUCGCAAGAAGUUGACACAGAACACGGCUUAUACUC
Molecule: RNase P RNA, 359 nt
Filed under: Mycoplasmataceae bacterium
Lineage: Bacteria; Bacillati; Mycoplasmatota; Mollicutes; Mycoplasmatales; Mycoplasmataceae
Description: RNase P RNA component class B
Rfam family: Bacterial RNase P class B
About the family: Ribonuclease P (RNase P) is a ubiquitous endoribonuclease, found in archaea, bacteria and eukarya as well as chloroplasts and mitochondria. Its best characterised activity is the generation of mature 5'-ends of tRNAs by cleaving the 5'-leader elements of precursor-tRNAs.
Source: RNAcentral